RNAcentral lists this ribosomal RNA (449 nucleotides) under uncultured Pseudomonadota bacterium. RNAcentral's name for it is "bacterial SSU rRNA". It matches the Rfam family "Bacterial small subunit ribosomal RNA", at positions 348 to 787 of the family's 1533-position model. The record is from RNAcentral. Lineage: Bacteria; Pseudomonadati; Pseudomonadota.
GCAGCAGUGGGGAAUAUUGGACAAUGGGCGAAAGCCUGAUCCAGCCAUGCCGCGUGUGUGAAGAAGGUCUUCGGAUUGUAAAGCACUUUAAGUUGGGAGGAAGGGCAGUAAGUUAAUACCUUGCUGUUUUGACGUUACCGACAGAAUAAGCACCGGCUAACUUCGUGCCAGCAGCCGCGGUAAUACGAAGGGUGCAAGCGUUAAUCGGAAUUACUGGGCGUAAAGCGCGCGUAGGUGGUUUGUUAAGUUGGAAGUGAAAGCCCCGGGCUCAACCUGGGAACUGCUUUCAAAACUGGCAAGCUAGAGUAUGGCAGAGGGUGGUGGAAUUUCCUGUGUAGCGGUGAAAUGCGUAGAUAUAGGAAGGAACACCAGUGGCGAAGGCGACCACCUGGGCUAAUACUGACACUGAGGUGCGAAAGCGUGGGGAGCAAACUAGGAUUAGAUUACCC